This 202-nucleotide long non-coding RNA is filed under the name Rattus norvegicus (Norway rat). RNAcentral describes it as "long non-coding RNA NONRATT032583". Lineage: Eukaryota; Metazoa; Chordata; Mammalia; Rodentia; Muridae. The record is from RNAcentral.
CCUACUUUGUUUGACAAACUUUUCUGUUUCUAGGUGGCUGCUUAGAUAUUUUAGCUUGUGGACCCAUGAGCUUCUGAGAUUUCUCCAGGCCCUACUUCCCAUCUCAGCUCACCACAGGCUGUAAAAAGAAGGGGCAGCAUGGAUCCUCAGUUUCUUUUAAGGAAGUAUUGGGAGAUGAGGAGACAGAAUUACUAAAGAGGAC